Long non-coding RNA from Girardinichthys multiradiatus, 584 nucleotides. RefSeq lists it as uncharacterized. The transcript has 2 exons. NCBI's taxonomy places the organism in Eukaryota, Metazoa, Chordata, Actinopteri, Cyprinodontiformes, Goodeidae. The record is from RefSeq and is a predicted model, not a curated record.
CUGUCUGUUUUCUGCUUGCUGCUAACCUUAUUCGUCCAGCAGAGGGUGUCGAGCUACAGGAGGAAUGUGGACAGGUGUUUCCCAUCUUCUGAUCGCCGUGUACGCUACUUAAGCCGUGGCUGCCUGCUACUCGUCGCCUGAGUGUUGAGCCUAUGUGGUAAUCAUCUCGAGCCAGUUUUUGGGUUUUGAUCUGCUCUGUUCCUUUCUGACAUUUGUGUUUUUGCCUUAGGUAUCAGUAACCUUGAUGUCCAUCGAUCCCUUAACUAUUCCUCGAGCGCUUGGAGCCUUUUGGAUUACCUGUCUGGAAUUCUACGUACACUCCUGGACUGAGCAAUCUUCACCUUUUACUGGAUUUGUGCUACAUUACGACAAGCGUACUUCUCCUGCAGACCUGUCCACCCUCCUAUGUAACUCCUGCUUCACCUUCCGCUCGCUUUCCACAGAAAGCACGUUUCGCUGUGAGCUCUACUUCAGUUCUCCUAAACCCCGUCUCCCCUGGCGGAUUCCGUUCACUCUCUAUUGGAGAGACCAGAUCCCUGUCAUCCCUGUGUAGAAUUUAGAAAUAAUAAACUUCUUUUCACCGU